Molecule: ribosomal RNA, 467 nt
Filed under: uncultured bacterium
Lineage: Bacteria
Description: partial 16S ribosomal RNA
Rfam family: Bacterial small subunit ribosomal RNA
Source: RNAcentral
GACGAACGCUGGCGGCGUGCUUAACACAUGCAAGUCGAACGGAAAGGCCCUGCUUUUGUGGGGUGCUCGAGUGGCGAACGGGUGAGUAACACGUGAGUAACCUGCCCUUGACUUUGGGAUAACUUCAGGAAACUGGGGCCAAUACCGGAUAGGAGCUCCUGCUGCAUGGUGGGGGUUGGAAAGUUUCGGCGGUUGGGGAUGGACUCGCGGCUUAUCAGCUUGUUGGUGGGGUAGUGGCUUACCAAGGCUUUGACGGGUAGCCGGCCUGAGAGGGUGACCGGCCACAUUGGGACUGAGAUACGGCCCAGACUCCUACGGGAGGCAGCAGUGGGGAAUAUUGCACAAUGGGCGGAAGCCUGAUGCAGCAACGCCGCGUGCGGGAUGACGGCCUUCGGGUUGUAAACCGCUUUCGCCUGUGACGAAGCGUGAGUGACGGUAAUGGGGAAAGAAGCACCGGCUAACUACGU